UACGUAGGGGGCAAGCGUUAUCCGGAAUUACUGGGUGUAAAGGGAGCGUAGACGGUUAAGUAAGUCUGGAGUGAAAGGCCGGGGCCCAACCCCGGGACUGCUUUUGAAACUGCGUUGCUAGAUUGCGGGAGAGGCAAGUGGAAUUCCUAGUGUAGCGGUGAAAUGCGUAGAUAUUAGGAGGAACACCAGUGGCGAAGGCGGCUUGCUGGACUGUAAAUGACGCUGAGGCUCGAAAGCGUGGGGAGCAAACAGG
This 253-nucleotide ribosomal RNA is filed under the name uncultured Coprococcus sp. RNAcentral's name for it is "partial 16S ribosomal RNA". It matches the Rfam family "Bacterial small subunit ribosomal RNA", at positions 524 to 776 of the family's 1533-position model. Lineage: Bacteria; Bacillati; Bacillota; Clostridia; Lachnospirales; Lachnospiraceae. The record is from RNAcentral.